This 947-nucleotide long non-coding RNA is filed under the name Fukomys damarensis (Damara mole-rat). Its description in RNAcentral is "lncRNA (ENSFDAG00000028541.1)". The record is from RNAcentral. Lineage: Eukaryota; Metazoa; Chordata; Mammalia; Rodentia; Bathyergidae.
GGGUCUCCGCCGCGCUACCCGGCCCUGCUCUCCCCGCCCCUGGACCUGGUGUCCUCGCGUGGGCUGCAGACCGCGGACUACGAGGAGCCCUCCCUGCCCUUUAGAACGGGGUCGGGGCUGCGAGGUCGUCCCUGCGGAAGCCAGCGGUCAAGGGGCCGGGCGGUGCUGGUCUCGCCAAGGGGUCACAGCCCCGGGCACUCGCAGGCCCGAGGCUUCUCUGUCAUCUCCAGCUAUGGACAGGACAGUUUCCCUGUGUCCUGGGGAAGGAAAUCAUUUCAAUUCUCCUUUCUACCUCAUCAGUGGGAAGUGGUCUGACUUCUGUUUCUACCCUGGCAGCAUCAUUACCUGAACUCCUCACCUUAUCCAUUUCUUCUUCUUUUUUUUUUUUUUUUUUCCUGUCCCUGAUUCGAUUCUCAAGGAAGACUAUCUGGACUUUGAACCCCUACUCUUUCAUACCAAAAACAUUUUAAAGCUCAUUUUCUGCCAGUCUUCCUGGAAAGCGGUGAUUCUUGAAUGAAAGAUGUUUAGAAAGAUAAGUCAUCAUCUUUGUAAGUUUUCCAACUACUUUUAAAGAGCUACAAUAAAGAAGGCAGAACCCUGCAUUUUAAUGUUUGUCAAAGAUAAUCUCACCAGGUUAUUUUGACAAACUACAAAUGUGUUUUAAAGACGUGAAUGGUCUUUUAAAAAGUUCAAAUAUCUGGCCCCUCUGUUGGAUUUUUGUUGGGCAGUUAGCGGAAGAAUUCCUGACUUCUUUCCAAAGAUUGCCAAGAAUUAGAAACAGUUUGGUAAGAGAGAAAAAUAACCACAUUUUGUCAACAAUAAAGAACAAAUAGGGCCGGGGAUUUAGCUCAGUGGUUCCGCCGCCUGCCUUGCAAGCGCAAGGACCUGAGUUCGAUCCCCGGUACCAAAAACAAAACAACAACAAAAAAACAACUAUUUAGGGAGUU